RNAcentral lists this ribosomal RNA (1555 nucleotides) under Lactiplantibacillus plantarum. RNAcentral's name for it is "Lactobacillus plantarum 16S ribosomal RNA". It matches the Rfam family "Bacterial small subunit ribosomal RNA". Lineage: Bacteria; Bacillati; Bacillota; Bacilli; Lactobacillales; Lactobacillaceae. The record is from RNAcentral.
AGAGUUUGAUCCUGGCUCAGGACGAACGCUGGCGGCGUGCCUAAUACAUGCAAGUCGAACGAACUCUGGUAUUGAUUGGUGCUUGCAUCAUGAUUUACAUUUGAGUGAGUGGCGAACUGGUGAGUAACACGUGGGAAACCUGCCCAGAAGAGGGGGAUAACACCUGGAAACAGAUGCUAAUACCGCAUAACAACUUGGACCGCAUGGUCCGAGUUUGAAAGAUGGCUUCGGCUAUCACUUUUGGAUGGUCCCGCGGCGUAUUAGCUAGAUGGUGAGGUAACGGCUCACCAUGGCAAUGAUACGUAGCCGACCUGAGAGGGUAAUCGGCCACAUUGGGACUGAGACACGGCCCAAACUCCUACGGGAGGCAGCAGUAGGGAAUCUUCCACAAUGGACGAAAGUCUGAUGGAGCAACGCCGCGUGAGUGAAGAAGGGUUUCGGCUCGUAAAACUCUGUUGUUAAAGAAGAACAUAUCUGAGAGUAACUGUUCAGGUAUUGACGGUAUUUAACCAGAAAGCCACGGCUAACUACGUGCCAGCAGCCGCGGUAAUACGUAGGUGGCAAGCGUUGUCCGGAUUUAUUGGGCGUAAAGCGAGCGCAGGCGGUUUUUUAAGUCUGAUGUGAAAGCCUUCGGCUCAACCGAAGAAGUGCAUCGGAAACUGGGAAACUUGAGUGCAGAAGAGGACAGUGGAACUCCAUGUGUAGCGGUGAAAUGCGUAGAUAUAUGGAAGAACACCAGUGGCGAAGGCGGCUGUCUGGUCUGUAACUGACGCUGAGGCUCGAAAGUAUGGGUAGCAAACAGGAUUAGAUACCCUGGUAGUCCAUACCGUAAACGAUGAAUGCUAAGUGUUGGAGGGUUUCCGCCCUUCAGUGCUGCAGCUAACGCAUUAAGCAUUCCGCCUGGGGAGUACGGCCGCAAGGCUGAAACUCAAAGGAAUUGACGGGGGCCCGCACAAGCGGUGGAGCAUGUGGUUUAAUUCGAAGCUACGCGAAGAACCUUACCAGGUCUUGACAUACUAUGCAAAUCUAAGAGAUUAGACGUUCCCUUCGGGGACAUGGAUACAGGUGGUGCAUGGUUGUCGUCAGCUCGUGUCGUGAGAUGUUGGGUUAAGUCCCGCAACGAGCGCAACCCUUAUUAUCAGUUGCCAGCAUUAAGUUGGGCACUCUGGUGAGACUGCCGGUGACAAACCGGAGGAAGGUGGGGAUGACGUCAAAUCAUCAUGCCCCUUAUGACCUGGGCUACACACGUGCUACAAUGGAUGGUACAACGAGUUGCGAACUCGCGAGAGUAAGCUAAUCUCUUAAAGCCAUUCUCAGUUCGGAUUGUAGGCUGCAACUCGCCUACAUGAAGUCGGAAUCGCUAGUAAUCGCGGAUCAGCAUGCCGCGGUGAAUACGUUCCCGGGCCUUGUACACACCGCCCGUCACACCAUGAGAGUUUGUAACACCCAAAGUCGGUGGGGUAACCUUUUAGGAACCAGCCGCCUAAGGUGGGACAGAUGAUUAGGGUGAAGUCGUAACAAGGUAGCCGUAGGAGAACCUGCGGCUGGAUCACCU